RNAcentral lists this ribosomal RNA (397 nucleotides) under uncultured bacterium. RNAcentral's name for it is "bacterial SSU rRNA". It matches the Rfam family "Bacterial small subunit ribosomal RNA", at positions 29 to 416 of the family's 1533-position model. The record is from RNAcentral.
AAUGAACGCUGGCGGCGCGCCUAAUACAUGCAAGUCGAGCGAGAAGACGUAGCAAUACGUUUGUAAAGCGGCGAACGGGUGAGGAAUACAUGGGUAACCUACCCUCGAGUGGGGAAUAACUAGCCGAAAGGUUAGCUAAUACCGCGUACGCUCCUUGGACUUCGGUUCAGGGAGGAAAGCGAUACCGUGGGGUAUCGCGCUCUUGGUUGGGCUCAUGUCCUAUCAGCUUGUUGGUGAGGAACGGCUCACCAAGGCUUCGACGGGUAGCUGGUCUGAGAGGACGAUCAGCCACACUGGCACUGCGACACGGGCCAGACUCCUACGGGAGGCAGCAGUAAGGAAUAUUGCGCAAUGGGCGAAAGCCUGACGCAGCGACGCCGCGUGGGGGAUGAAGGUC